UUCUAUAUUCCAUUUUAAAUCAUAGUAAAUCAUGAGAAAUCUUUGAUGAGUUCACGGUCACAUGACAAAGUUAUGUCUACAUGUAUGAGCUACUAGUUAAAACACUGUCAGCCAAGCAGAAUAAGACGCUUACAUCCAAAAUUAAAUCAUAUGUAUUAAUUGAAUUUAUUAUAGAAUUUUAACGGACAUGAUUUCCUAGGAAAACUAGUCUGGGGACAUAGAUUACUAACAUUGGACUAAAUAUAUUAUUAAAGUCUGUAACCAUGGACUUUUUAUACUACCGGUAGUAAUAUACCAGGACAAAUUUAUCACUUACACUUACAGGACAUUUAAUAAAAACAUUUUCAAAAUAUUAUGUAAAAAAUGUAUAUGCAUGUUUUGAAAAUUUUAAAUUAAACUUAGGAUGUGAUAAUUUAGAUUACUUGCAUGAUUUUUCUUUCAGAGUGAUGAAGUUAUGACAUUUUUUCUCUUCAUUUUGAAAGAAUGUGGCACUCAGAAUGUUCCACCACUAGCCAAAGUAAAGAGCUAUUUACAAGAAAAGUUUGAAAUGGGAGAAAUGAUUCAAAGGCAUGAGGACGCACAGGGUAACAUAAGUUGGACAAUAAAACCAUCAGCUAUGCUCCGACUACACCUAGCAAAUCCAGAUACUGCUAACAGAAUAUCCAGAUAUCCUACGGUUGAAACCAGUAGUCAAACAGUUCACCAGGCCUCAGGCAAUAAAUGGAAAUCAAUGGAAUUUCAUUGGGCAAUUAACAAAGAAAGACAACAAUUCAUGAAAGGGGUGUUCAUAUCAUUCAGUGUCAGAGGUCAAAUUGUUUAUGGGAAAAUUAUGCAAUUCCUUGAAAAUU
Long non-coding RNA from Mytilus californianus (California mussel), 848 nucleotides. RefSeq lists it as uncharacterized. The record is from RefSeq and is a predicted model, not a curated record. The transcript is spliced from 3 exons. NCBI's taxonomy places the organism in Eukaryota, Metazoa, Mollusca, Bivalvia, Mytilida, Mytilidae.